CUUUAUUAUGAGCUUAUAAAGCAUUUUGAUUUCGACUCAAAAUAAGGAUUA
Molecule: transfer RNA, 51 nt
Filed under: Tetragnatha puella
Lineage: Eukaryota; Metazoa; Arthropoda; Arachnida; Araneae; Tetragnathidae
Description: tRNA-Arg
Source: RNAcentral